GUACUUUUUAGUUUGUAUCAGGGAAACUUCCUAGGUGUUAGAAAGCCUUCAAUUCAUUGUGGGGUCUUUGGCAACUUCCUCUACAAUUUCUUCCUCAUUUCCACAAUAUUUAAUUAUACUUGUGCUCUUCUGGUCCAUUUGUAUCCACAACAACCAGUAAGAAUUUAGAGGCUAGUUUACUUGUCCAAAUCAUGGGAUACACAUCUUUUAUUGAAGCUUGAAGGGAAUUCAAGGCUAAGGGCUAAAGGGAUUUCAACUACAAAAUUGGAGGGGAGCUUGAACAAUCAUGUGAGAUGCUAUAAACAUUUGUCUGUAAGAGAGUGACUACUUAGCCGACUAUGUAAUCCGCUUUAUUUUUCUACGCUUAUGUGCUUCUACUGUAAUUGUUGUUUGUGUGUGAAGAUUGGUUAAUUUUUGGCAUAAUCUUUCAUACAAGCUUAACAAACCAA
This is a long non-coding RNA of Mangifera indica (mango), 449 nucleotides long. RefSeq lists it as uncharacterized. The transcript has 2 exons. NCBI's taxonomy places the organism in Eukaryota, Viridiplantae, Streptophyta, Magnoliopsida, Sapindales, Anacardiaceae. The record is from RefSeq and is a predicted model, not a curated record.